GAUGAACGCUAGCGGCAUGCUUAAUACAUGCAAGUCGUGGGGCAGGAGGACUGUAUCACUACUGUGACUUUCGACCGGCAAACGGGUGCGGCACACGUACGCAACUUAUCCUAAACUGGGGUAAAUCCCGGGAAAACCCGCUUUAAUACCCUGAUAUAUAAUGGCGUAUCAUCCCUUUAUUAUUAAAGCUCCUGCUGUCACUUAUGGGCGUACGGCUGCUUAGUUAGUUGGUUGAGGUAACGGCUCACCACCCAUACGAUCAGUAACUGGUGUGAGGGCACGACCAGUCACAAGGGAACUGAGGUACGGGCCCGACUCCUACGGGAGGCAGCAGUAAGGAACAUUAGGCAAUGGAGGCAAAUCUGACCCAGCCAUGCCGCGUGGAGGAUGAAGGCGCUCUGGGUUGUAAACUUCUUUGAUAGGGGAAGAGAGUUGUGUAUUCUUCCGCAGUUGACGGUACCCAAGGAAUAAGCCACGGCUAACUCCGUG
Molecule: ribosomal RNA, 489 nt
Filed under: uncultured bacterium
Lineage: Bacteria
Description: partial 16S ribosomal RNA
Rfam family: Bacterial small subunit ribosomal RNA
Source: RNAcentral